UGUCGCCACGGCGACGCUGCCGGGCCUUCAGGGGUGGGGUUUAGGGCCUGCGAGUGGAGAGUUCGCGGCAGUUGUUUGGCUGCCGCCCGCGCAUUUCCAACGGUCGUCAGAUGGCCGCUGAGGUGGAAGACCCGGGGUCGAAGGAAUCUGCGUUCUGCCGUGGACCGCGGAUCCCCGCCUGCCCGUCCGCAGGCACCCGGAAGUGAGGACGGCUAUCCUCGCUCCGGUUAGGAAUUCCUCCCGGCACACGCCUUUACCCGGCAGCUGCCACUGGUUAUCUCUUACUGAGCGCCGCACUUUCCCCGAACCUAUCGGAAACGGAGCGCUGACACCGUGGGCUGUACUCUAUGCCCGGAGGCAGGACCUCCUUCCUCCACCCUCGCAAGGUGGAGUCCGGCUUAGGGUCCACGCCCGCCUGGCCAGACUUGCCCUCCGCAGCGUUUCUGCCCUGCCUGGCAUUACCAGCCCAGGAUGCUCCCCAGGGCUCUGGCCGCCUCCUUCCCAUCCCUGGGGAGCCCACGGGCUCCAUUCUCCACGCAGUCAUGCCUCCCUGCUGGCCACCUCCCCCGCCUAACCAUCUCUCCUGCCCUAACCGUAACAGCCCCUCAAGUGAGCUUUCCCUCAGCUACGACCUUCAGAUUCUCACGACCUACCGGCCACACUGCCUUUUGUGCUUUAUGAAAUAGGUCUCAUGCCUUAAGUUAUGUUUUGUAUGUCUCCCAUGCAGUCCUAAAUUGAGGACAGGACCCCUGCCUGCCUCUCCCUGGGGACCCUGGUUGCAUCUCCAUGAGGGCAGAUGGGGUGAAACUCUGAACCACAGAGAAGAGAGUAGAGUGGAUGUUGCUUGUCGGUCAGUUAGAUAACGGGGCUUCUUCAGGAUCACCCUUGCCUCCAUUUUCAGAAGAUCCUGUAGGAAUUUGCGCUGGCUUCCACUUUCCUCAGGCACAGAAACUCUUUGAGGAAGCAGGAUGCUCUUGCUUGGGGUUGACUGUCCUCGGGCUCUAGUGCCCAGUUACCUGAUGAUGGUUGCUUCAGACCUCAUACCUCCAGGGAGCUCUGUUGACCCAUCCGAAGCUCUGCCUACAAGAUUUGGAUUUGUUUUCCACACCAAAACAAAGACCAGAUUGAGACAGGGUCCUCUGCCAUCCCAAGUGGGCACUGCCACUAAUUUCUAAUGCCACCUUGGGAAAGGCAGCCCCAUCUUACUUCAUCAGGCCUAUCCCUUCAGAGACAUGCACAGAGUGAAUGGGUCAGAAGUGGUUCAGUUUCCUUUUUAAGCCUAUUGUUCCAGUUCUGUCUUGCCUCACAAUGCCCUUGAUGACCCAGGAGCCCAUUGGGCAAGAAUCUGGAAUUCCUUUGAGAAUCUCUAGGCUCAUGCCAGGCUGCACAUGGUAUUGCCCAGUCAGAGGCUUCAGCCUCAUCCUUAAGAGGUUGAGAAAUUAAGGCUGAAAGUUCCAAACCUGGCAUCACAUGGUUGGUUUCUCUUAUAUCCAAGGAACCAUCCUGAAGAUUCCCUGGAACAAACAAAGCAGAUGUUGCCACAAUUCCCUGUAUGACUCUACCCAUAAUGUGUUGGAGCUAAUUAACUAUCCUUGCUAGCAAUGGGCUUGGGAAGAAAGCAUUUCUGUUAGGGAAAAGGAUUUGGGAUUUUAAUUCAUAUGAACGAUAAUAGAAACAGCAAGAAGGGACCUGGAGGACAUGGGAACAGGGACAGGGACAGAUGAAAACUGAAAUCAAAAAAGUCAAGUCAUGCAGUCAGACAGUGGAUGAGUGGAGACUAAAACCCAGGACUUCUGCUGUAGGUUAUUUUCAGUUCUGCCACAUUAAAUAUCUGGGUCCAGCUGAAGUUGCAAGUGGUCUUUAUUUUAGCAUUUUCCUAGUAUUUUCAUAUAUUUUCUUUUUUCAAAAACUGAAACUACUCUCAAACUACUUUGAGAGCAGAAAUUCUAUUUCUAUAUUUUAUGUAUAAUUUGAUGCACAUUAAUAGAUUUUAAGUACAAUUUCCAGUC
Long non-coding RNA from Canis lupus familiaris (dog), 2009 nucleotides. RefSeq lists it as uncharacterized. The transcript has 4 exons. The record is from RefSeq and is a predicted model, not a curated record. Lineage: Eukaryota; Metazoa; Chordata; Mammalia; Carnivora; Canidae.